Molecule: ribosomal RNA, 427 nt
Filed under: uncultured bacterium
Lineage: Bacteria
Description: bacterial SSU rRNA
Rfam family: Bacterial small subunit ribosomal RNA
Source: RNAcentral
UUAACGCUGGCGGUGUGUCUAAUACAUGCAAGUCGAGCGCACUUUAUUGUGAGCGGCGGACGAGCGAGUAACACGUUGGAACCUACCCCAAACUCAGGGAUAACAUCUAGAAAUAGGUGCUAAUACCGGAUAGUCCCGUAAGGGUAAAGAUUUAUCGGUUUGGGAGGGGCCUGCGUACUAUCAGCUUGUUGGUAAGGUAAUGGCUUACCAAGGCUAUGACGGUUAACUGGUCUGAGAGGAUGAUCAGUCGCGAUGGGACUGAGACACGGCCCAUACUCCUACGGGAGGCAGCAGUAAGGAAUCUUCCGCAAUGGACGAAAGUCUGACGGAGCAACACCGCGUGGUUGAUGACGCCUUUAGGGGUGUAAAGACCUUUUCUGAGUGAAGAACUCUGACGGUAACUUAGGAAUAAGCACCGGCUAACUCC